Molecule: ribosomal RNA, 467 nt
Filed under: uncultured bacterium
Lineage: Bacteria
Description: partial 16S ribosomal RNA
Rfam family: Bacterial small subunit ribosomal RNA
Source: RNAcentral
GACGAACGCUGGCGGCGUGCUUAACACAUGCAAGUCGAACGGAAAGGCCUCUUUCGGGGGGUACUCGAGUGGCGAACGGGUGAGUAACACGUGAGUAACCUGCCCUUGACUUUGGGAUAACUUCAGGAAACUGGGGCUAAUACCGGAUAGGAGCUCCUGCUGCAUGGUGGGGGUUGGAAAGUUUCGGCGGUUGGGGAUGGACUCGCGGCUUAUCAGCUUGUUGGUGGGGUAGUGGCUUACCAAGGCUUUGACGGGUAGCCGGCCUGAGAGGGUGACCGGCCACAUUGGGACUGAGAUACGGCCCAGACUCCUACGGGAGGCAGCAGUGGGGAAUAUUGCACAAUGGGUGGAAGCCUGAUGCAGCAACGCCGUGUGCGGGAUGACGGCCUUCGGGUUGUAAACCGCUUUCGCUCAUGACAAAGCUUUGUGUGACGGUAGUGGGUAAAGAAGCACCGGCUAACUACGUG